AGAGUUUGAUCCUGGCUCAGGACGAACGCUGGCGGCGUGCUUAACACAUGCAAGUCGAACGAGGUCCAAGGGUUAGCAAUAACCUGGAAGAUCUAGUGGCGAACGGGUGAGUAACACGUGAGGAACCUACCCCGGACUCAGGGAUAACAGCCGGAAACGGCUGCUAAUACCUGAUGCCGUCGGAGCAUCACAUGGUGCACUGACGAAAGAAUCUCGGUUCGGGCGGGCCUCGCGGCCUAUCAGCUUGUUGGUGGGGUAACGGCCUACCAAGGCAUCGACGGGUAGCUGGUCUGAGAGGAUGAUCAGCCACACUGGGACUGAGACACGGCCCAGACUCCUACGGGAGGCAGCAGUGGGAAUCUUGCGCAAUGGGCGAAAGCCUGACGCAGCAACGCCGCGUGCGGGAAGAAGGCCUUAGGGUUGUAAACCGCUUUCAGUAGGAACGAAAAUGACGGUACCUGCAGAAGAAGGUGCGGCCAACUACGUGCCAGCAGCCGCGGUGACACGUAGGCACCAAGCGUUGUCCGGAUUUAUUGGGCGUAAAGAGCUCGUAGGCGGUUCAGUAAGUCGGGUGUGAAAACUCUGGGCUUAACCCAGAGCCGCCACCCGAUACUGCUGUGACUUGAGUUCGGUAGGGGAGCAGGGAAUUCCUAGUGUAGCGGUGAAAUGCGCAGAUAUUAGGAGGAACACCGGUGGCGAAGGCGCUGCUCUGGGCCGAUACUGACGCUGAGGAGCGAAAGCGUGGGUAGCAAACAGGAUUAGAUACCCUGGUAGUCCACGCCGUAAACGUUGGGCACUAGGUGUGGGUUCCAACCAACGGAAUCCGCGCCGUCGCUAACGCAUUAAGUGCCCCGCCUGGGGAGUACGGCGGCAACGCUAAAACUCAAAUGAAUUGACGG
Molecule: ribosomal RNA, 899 nt
Filed under: uncultured bacterium
Lineage: Bacteria
Description: bacterial SSU rRNA
Rfam family: Bacterial small subunit ribosomal RNA
Source: RNAcentral